This 500-nucleotide ribosomal RNA is filed under the name uncultured bacterium. RNAcentral's name for it is "partial 16S ribosomal RNA". It matches the Rfam family "Bacterial small subunit ribosomal RNA", at positions 30 to 523 of the family's 1533-position model. The record is from RNAcentral.
AUUGAACGCUGGCGGAAUGCUUUACACAUGCAAGUCGAACGGCAGCACGGACUUCGGUCUGGUGGCGAGUGGCGAACGGGUGAGUAAUACAUCGGAACGUGCCCAGUCGUGGGGGAUAACGUAGCGAAAGCUACGCUAAUACCGCAUACGAUCUAAGGAUGAAAGCGGGGGAUCGCAAGACCUCGCGCGAUUGGAGCGGCCGAUGGCAGAUUAGGUAGUUGGUAGGGGAAAGGCCUACCAAGCCGACGAUCUGUAGCUGGUCUGAGAGGAUGAUCAGCCACACUGGGACUGAGACACGGCCCAGACUCCUACGGGAGGCAGCAGUGGGGAAUUUUGGACAAUGGGCGCAAGCCUGAUCCAGCCAUUCCGCGUGCAGGAUGAAGGCCUUCGGGUUGUAAACUGCUUUUGUACAGAACGAAAAGGUUUGACUUAAUACGUUGGACUCAUGACGGUACCGUAAGAAUAAGCACCGGCUAACUACGUGCCAGCCGCCGCCGUAA